RNAcentral lists this ribosomal RNA (253 nucleotides) under uncultured bacterium. RNAcentral's name for it is "partial 16S ribosomal RNA". It matches the Rfam family "Bacterial small subunit ribosomal RNA", at positions 524 to 776 of the family's 1533-position model. The record is from RNAcentral.
UACGAAGGGUGCUAGCGUUGUUCGGAAUCACUGGGCGUAAAGCGCGCGUAGGCGGCUUUUCAAGUCAGGGGUGAAAUCCCACAGCUUAACUGUGGAACUGCCUUUGAAACUGUAAAGCUGGAAUGCAAGAGGGGAUAGCGGAAUUGCUAAUGUAGAGGUGAAAUUCGUAGAUAUUAGCAGGAACACCGGUGGCGAAGGCGGCUAUCUGGAUUGCAAUUGACGCUGAGGCGCGAAAGCAUGGGGAUCAAACAGG